This is a non-coding RNA of Macaca mulatta (Rhesus monkey), 5493 nucleotides long. Lineage: Eukaryota; Metazoa; Chordata; Mammalia; Primates; Cercopithecidae. The record is from RefSeq and is a predicted model, not a curated record.
UGGCGGUGAAAGACGCUUCCUCAGCCCGCGCGGGAGACCGAGAAAUAGCAGUGAGUGAGAGCUGGUCCUCUCGCCGGUCCAUAGCCACCGAGUGUCGCCCGGGCCCAGCCUAUUUCCUCAGACACAGCCCCAGAGCCGGGCGGCCACCCCUACCCCGGGAGCCCUUCGCCAAGCGCGCAGCUCCAGACCAGAAGUAGCCGCUCCGACCCAGAGCUCCGGGUGGGGCAGAAAAAUCUUUUCUUGCUGCUCUCCUAGGAUCUACCAACCAGAGAUUCUAAUGUGAUAUGUUUGGAAUGGAGUUAUCGACCUGCAUUUUUAAUAGGCAUCCUCCAGGUUUCUACCGUCUGUGGAACAUGGAAUCAAACCAGAAUAUGUUGGCACAACAGGCCAGUAAAACCGGUUCUUCCGUAGAUCCAGAACCUGUCCAACCAGUCUGUAUCAAAGGCUAGCCCAACAUGCUGCAGCGGCUCAGCUCUGCUAAGCUUGUACUGGGUGAGUUAUCCCCACCUCCCGUGAACUCCCAACAAACUACUCAGAAUGUUGUAGCCUCCAGCAAAAUAAUUCAGAGUUCUAGUGGGAGGGGUAGAUCUGUGUCAGGUAUAGCAAGAGUGCAUUGUUAUAAGACUCUCAUGGUAGACAUAUAUAAGCAAGUGGUCUGUUAUCUUCAGAGGUAGGUAAUCCUUUUAAACAUGUAUUCUGGGGCAUUCUGCUGACUACAGCCUCUAGAAAUAGAUUACCUAUGAUGAAGAUGAAUCCUAUAAUGCCUGACCUUUUCCACUAGUCUGCUUGGCUUUGCUUAAUCCAGCUUAACCUUGAGGAGAGAGAUUGAUAUUCCUCACAGGGUAGUGGGCUUGAGAGCUAGAAGGAAGUAUUUCUAGAAGGAGAGAAACAAGGUGUAGGUUGACCAAACAUUUGCCUGGGUGUGUUAUCUUCCUUGUUCUCAAAUGAUUCUCAUACCAUUCCAGUCUAAAAUUGGAAAAACUCCUACUUCUACAUACUAGGGACAACUUAGAGAGGUUUUGCUCUGAAUAUUCAACGGUUCAACACAGAGUAUUUAUAUCAACUAUGUUUUAAGAACUGUGCUAGGUACAGGGUUCACAGUGUGAGUAAAAUUAGUAAAGAUGAGAGCAACUUCAAAGUUCCCGAUUAAGCAUGUCGAGUAAACUUUUGGAAAGAAGAAAUGAGCAGCAAAACAUUACAUUUUGACAGAAAUUAGUUUGUAUUAAGAGAGAUCAUGUGAGAUUUGUGCUUACUCUCUCAUAAUACUUGCACAUUUAGAAGCAUCGUUUCCUGUCUACUGCCAUAGUGUUUCUGAAACUUUUGUGCUUAAGAGUCAUCUGAAGUGUUGAUUAAGAGCACAGAUUCCUGGGUCUAACCGCCACAGAUUCUGCUUCAGCAUUCAAUAGGAAUGUUGCCCAAGCACUUCUAGUGAUUCUGAUGCAACUGUUGCAGGGACCAUAGCACAUAUUCCAUGCUCAGUUUCUUUUCUAUUUUUAUACCUCUUAAUUAAAAAGAAUACAUAUGAACCAAAAGUUGCCAUUUUUAUUUUUGUAUUUCUAGUGUUUAGAACACUGACGGACACUUAGAAGGUACUUAAAAAUGCUUAUCAGAGUCAAGCACUUGCUAGAUCUCAGAGGAAUCACAACUAGUAAUGACUAUACGAAUCAAACUCCAUUAAAUACUAUAAUUAUAAUAAUUGAGAUGGGAGCUCAGAAAUGGGAGUAUGACUAUAAGUAUGUGGAAGACUUCACAUGGGAGAUGGGUUUAGAGACUUUUCUUUUUAAACCAUGGCCAAAGAUUUCUAACUGCAGGAUAACAAAAGGCUAAAGGAACAAUAAAAAUAGUGCCUUUGAUUUGAUAACAAUAACAAAAGUGUUAAGUAUAUGAGGACACCAUGAACUCAAAACUUGGUCAUAAGGUUAUUUUCUACAGCAGGGUCAGCGGAUUUUUCCUUAAAGGAUCAGAGACUAAUAGAGUUUGUCAGCUAGACUGUCUGUGUCUCAACUAUUCAGUUGUAACAGUGUAGCACAAAAACAGGCAUAGACAAUAGUCAUUUAAAUGGGUAUGAUAUUGUGAAAUAUGUGUUUGGUCUUUAACCUUUUUUCCUAGUGGACAACUCCUAAAAUCCUUACUCUCCAAAGUGAUGUCUUUGGAUGCUAAUGAGUUGUCUGAUAGCUGGCAACCCUUAGGUAGCUUCAGGAUGGGGGCUGGUCACCAGAAAGACCAAGGCAGGAUUAGGGGCUUAGGAUUUUCAGCCCUUUACCACAACCUGCGGGUUAAAUUGAUCACUAAUGGCCAAUGGUUUAAUCAUGCCUAUGUAAUGAAGUCCCAAGAAAACCCAAAGGACAUGAUAGCUUUCCGAUAGCUGAACAUAUGGAGCUUCCUGGAGGGUGGUGCAUUGGAGAGGGCAUGGAAGCGCAACACCCCUUCUCAUGUGCCUACCCCAUAACUCUCUUCAUCUGUACCUGUGGCAAUAUCCUUUACUGUAAACUGGUAAACGUAAAUGGUUCCCCUCAGUUCUGUGAGUUGUUCUAGCAAAUUAAUCAAACCCAAGGAAAAGGGUCUUGGGAUCCCCAAUUUAUAACCAAUCAGUUAAAAGCACAGGUAAAAAUAACCCAGCACUUGCAAUUGGCAUCAGAAGUAAGGGGCAGUCUUUUGGUACUGAACCCUCAACUUGUGGAAUUUGAUUUCUAGGUAGAUAGUGUCAGAACUAAAUUGGAGGAUACCUGCCUGGUAUUUGCUGCAGAAUUCAUUGCUUGCUUGUUGGUAGGGGAAAAUCUCCACAUAUUUGGUCGCAGAAGUCUUCUGUGUUAAUUGUUUGUUGUUGAGUGAGAGAAUAGAAAAAGUACUUUGAGUUUGAGUGUGCUUUUUUCCACAUGAUUCGUAUGGAUGUGUUCUGAUAAAACUUUACAAAACAAGUGGCAGGCCAGAUUUGGCUAGUGAGCCAUAGUUUGCUGACCCCUGAUCUAGAGUAAAACCUGUGAAUUGUUAAUUGAAAAAUUAAGAAGAUUGCAUAAUUGGCUAGGCCAAUUGGCUUUCGAAUUACAAAGACGUGGGUUCCAUCCCAGUUCUGUUCCACCCUAGCUUUGUCACCUGAAUCAAACAUCAGUUUUGUUUAUAAAAUGGGAUGCAAAAUAAUAGUACCUAUCUCUUAGAGUUAUUACAAGAUCCAAAUAAUAAUUUAUGUAAAGGUUUAUCUGAAAAUCUAAUACACAGUAAGGGCUUGAUAAAAUGUCAGCUGAAAAUAAAACUAGUUAAACAUAGCAGUUGAACUUGUUUAUUUCUGUUGUUCUUGAAAUCCCAAUAAAAUGACUCUAGAGAACCAAAACUGCAUGAACCCUUAAUGAUCAAAAAGAUUGAGAGAGGUAGCAGAUAAGAGACAUCCAUGUAUUUUUGCAAGGAGGAAUGAGAAUGAGUGGUGACUUAGCAGAAUAGAGAGGAAGUCUAACUACUUGCCAUAAUAAAAGCAAGUCUGUCUCUACUGCAGAAUGCUGGAAAAAUUCAGAAUUUGGAGGUACAAGGUACCCUUAAAUAGUAUUGGGGAGUAGAGUGGGCUUGGAAUGGAAGGAUUGGUUAAAAUCUGCUUAAGGAACAGUUUGCUCCAUAGGUCCCAUCUUAACCUGGAAGCCUGGAUUCUUCGACCUUGACAGAGAUAAGUAGGACUUGGUUGAUUAAUGGUAGAAGAGAUUAUCUCAGGUUUGUUCUAGAUUUGGGAAUACUAAGCAGAGCUGAGAGUGGAUGCUAAAGCACCAUACUGAAAUCAAAUGAUUAUAUUAUUUUCCUAUUGGUUCUAUAACAAAUUACCCCCAAAUGUAGUGGUUUAAAAAAACACAAAUUUAUCAUCCUAUAAUUCCAGGGGUGAGAAGUCCAAAAUGGGUCUCGGUGGGUUAAAAUUAACGUGUCAGCAGAGUUGUCUUUCUUCAUGGAGGCUCUAGAAAGAAAUUUUGCUUUUUUGCCUUUUCCAGCUCCUUUCAGCUACCUGCAUUACUUGGCUCAUGGCUCCCUUACUUCUUCAAAGCCAGCAAUGGCUUUUUCACAUCAUAUCAUUUUGUCCCUGACUCUCCUGUCUUCUUCCACAUUUAAAUCCAACUGAAUAAUCCAAGAUAAUCUCCCUUUGUUAAGGUCAGUUUUUUAGCAAGCUUUAUUCUACCUGCUAUCUGAAUUCUCUUUUGCCAUGGAACUUAACAUGCUUAUAGGUUCCUGGGAUUAGGAUGUGUGGACGUCUGUGAGAGGCCAUUAUUCUGCCUACUAGAUAGAUUAAGUCAGAGUCUGUGUAUUGGUUGGUGAGAUACCCAUGUCUGUUCAUUUGCUUGGCUUCCAAAUGCUAGUAACUAGGUUCAUAUUCUUCACUCACAAAGUAGGAAAUUGGAGAAUUUCUCAGAGAAACUCUCAAGACCCUGAUCACCCUAAUGCAUUGGUUAUAAACUAGGACUGAUUUCCCCCCACAGGGGACAUUUGACAAUAUUUGGAGAGAUACUUGAUUGUAAUAACUAAAGAUAUACACAAAGGUGUGCUACUGGCAUCUCAUGGAUAGAGGCCAAGGAUGCUGCUAACCAUCUUGCAGUGCACAGGGAAGCUCAUCUUCCUGUUCCCCAAAAUAAUUAUUCAGUUCAAAAUGUCAAUAGGGCCAAAAUUGAGAAAUCCUACCCUAAUGUUAAGUCUAUCAGUUAACAUCACCCUAACAUAAAUCAAUGACUGAUGAGAGAGCAUGUAACAUGAAAAAGAGGGGAGAAGAAACCAACAGGUAAAAUGAACUUAUAAAAAACAGUCAAUGCAGAGAAUAGAAUAGUAUUUUAAAUUGACUAUAUUAAUAUGUUCAAAGAAAUAAGACAAGUUACUGAUUAUGUAAAACAAGAACAGAAAGGCUAUCCAAAAGUAGAACUUUUGAGAACAAAAAAGAGAUAUUGGAAAGUAAAAAUAUGAUAGUAGAAAGGAAGUCAGUAACCCAGGUAGAGUUUAGUGAUUUCACAAAGAUUGCCAGAUUGGUUAAAAAUGUAAGACCCAACUGUAUGCUUUCUGCAAUAAACAUAUUUUAGACAUAAAAAAACAAAUAGGUUAAAGGUAAAAGGACCAAAAAAGACAUACCAUGCCAACACUAAUCAAAAGAUACUUACAUUACUAUCAGACAAAAUAGGUUUUAGAUCACAGUAUAUUACUAAGGAUAAAAAGGGUCAUUUCAAAAUGAUAAAAGGGUGAAUUCAUCAAGGGUACCUAAUGUAAUUGUAUGCAUUCAUGUGUCUAAUGAUAUAAAUGGAAAACACAUGAAUCAAAAUCUGAUAGAACUGAAAGGAGUAUAGGAAAAAUUUAUAAUUAGAUGCCAUAAUUAUGUCUGGAGAUUCCAAUACUCCUCUUUCAAUAAUUGAUAGGGUAAGUAGACAGAAAAUCAGUAAAAGUGUAGAAGGCUUAACACUAUCAACCUACUAGAUGUACUUGACAUUUGUAGAUCACUGUAAAACAACAAAACACAUGUUCUUUUCAAGUGCACAUGGAACA